ACGGCAAGGACCCAAGGCUCCAGAUUCCAGAGAACACUUUAGUAAGAUUAUCCUUGAACACGAGUCUUUCACCUCUUUUGGGAGCCAUUCUACAUGAACAUUCUCCAUGUACUUCACAUUGUCCUCAAUGGACAGCUGUGCCGUCAGAGAGAACCAUUUGCUCUGGGAUAAGUUAAUUUUAUGUAUGCAAAAGGAAGGUAUCCUUGGAGGAUUCAUCAAGUGAUGCCUGCUCUGUGACCCAGAAUGGACCCAUCAAGAGAUGCCAAAGACAGUGAUUUUAGCUGCCACCAUCCAUGGGGAUUCAUCGAGUGGCUUCUGCUCCUUAGCUACGAAGUGACCAAGGAAGAGGUGCCAACGGCAGCAUGUCAGCUGCCCCAAAUCAUAUAGGCUUCAGCGUGUGGCUCCUGAAGGGAACCAAAAGAGGUGCCAAUUGACACACAGCAAGAGGUGCCAAUGGCAGUUUGUUUAGCUGCCCCCACUCAUAGGGGCAGCAUCAAGUGGCUCCUGCUCCAUGGCCAAGCAGGAACCAAGCAAAAGGCAGCGAUGGCAGCG
Suncus etruscus (white-toothed pygmy shrew) is the source of this 552-nucleotide long non-coding RNA. RefSeq lists it as uncharacterized. The record is from RefSeq and is a predicted model, not a curated record. NCBI's taxonomy places the organism in Eukaryota, Metazoa, Chordata, Mammalia, Eulipotyphla, Soricidae. The transcript has 3 exons.